This 46-nucleotide ribosomal RNA is filed under the name uncultured Tomentella. RNAcentral describes it as "partial 28S ribosomal RNA". The record is from RNAcentral. Lineage: Eukaryota; Fungi; Basidiomycota; Agaricomycetes; Thelephorales; Thelephoraceae.
UUGAUCUCAAAUCACGUAGGACUACCCGCUGAACUUAAGCAUUAUA